RNAcentral lists this ribosomal RNA (549 nucleotides) under Gasterophilus haemorrhoidalis. RNAcentral describes it as "partial 16S ribosomal RNA". It matches the Rfam family "Bacterial large subunit ribosomal RNA", at positions 1797 to 2619 of the family's 2925-position model. RNAcentral also lists the same sequence under 1 other name. The record is from RNAcentral. Lineage: Eukaryota; Metazoa; Arthropoda; Insecta; Diptera; Oestridae.
CGCCUGUUUAACAAAAACAUGUCCUUUUGGGUGAAUAUGAGGUCUGACCUGCCCACUGAUAUUUGAAUGGCCGCAGUAUUUUAACUGUGCAAAGGUAGCAUAAUCAUUAGUCUUUUAAUUGAAGGCUGGUAUGAAUGGUUGGACGAGAUACUAUCUGUUUCACGUAGAGUUAGAUUAGAAUUUUAUUUUUCAGUAAAAAAGCUGAAAUGGUUUUUAAAGACGAGAAGACCCUAUAAAUCUUUAUAGUUGAUUUGUUAUAAUUUUUUAGAUGGGUUGUAUUAUGACAGUUGAUACUAUUUUAUUGGGGUGAUAUUAAAAUUUAAUUAACUUUUAGUUUUUGGUGACAUUAAUUAAUGAUUGAUUGAUCCGUUAAUGACGAUUGGAAAAUUAAGUUACUUUAGGGAUAACAGCGUAAUUUUUUUGGAGAGUUCUUAUCGAUAAAAGUGAUUGCGACCUCGAUGUUGGAUUAAGAGAUAGAUUUGGGUGUAGCAGCUUGAAUUCUAAGUCUGUUCGACUUUUAAAUUCUUACAUGAUCUGAGUUCAAACCGG